This 472-nucleotide ribosomal RNA is filed under the name uncultured bacterium. Its description in RNAcentral is "bacterial SSU rRNA". It matches the Rfam family "Bacterial small subunit ribosomal RNA", at positions 8 to 525 of the family's 1533-position model. The record is from RNAcentral.
AGGGUUUGAUCAUGGCUCAGAAUGAACGCUGGCGGCACGCUUAACACAUGCAAGUCGAACGAGAUCUUCGGAUCUAGUGGCAGACGGGUGAGUAACGCGUGGGAACCUGCCCAGUAGUAGAGGACAACUUGGGGAAACUUAAGCUAAUACUUUAUACGUCCUUCGGGAGAAAGCUUUAUGCGCUAUUGGAUGGGCCCGCGUUAGAUUAGUUUGUUGGUGAGGUAAUGGCUCACCAAGACUACGAUCUAUAGCUGGUCUGAGAGGAUGAUCAGCCACACUGGGACUGAGACACGGCCCAGACUCCUACGGGAGGCAGCAGUGGGGAAUAUUGGACAAUGGGGGCAACCCUGAUCCAGCGAUGCCGCGUGAGUGAUGAAGGCCCUAGGGUUGUAAAACUCUUUCGUCAGGGAAGAUAAUGACGGUACCUGAAGAAGAAGAUCCGGCUAACUCCGUGCCAGCCGCCGCGGUAAUA